RNAcentral lists this transfer RNA (74 nucleotides) under Tenericutes bacterium ADurb.BinA155. RNAcentral describes it as "tRNA-Thr". It matches the Rfam family "tRNA". From Rfam's summary of the family: Transfer RNA (tRNA) molecules are approximately 80 nucleotides in length. The record is from RNAcentral. Lineage: Bacteria; Bacillati; Mycoplasmatota.
GCCCUCAUAGUUCAGCGGUAGAACGCGUCCAUGGUAAGGACGAGACCCCAUUUCGACUACGAGUGAGGGCACCA